Molecule: unclassified non-coding RNA, 229 nt
Filed under: Hevea brasiliensis (rubber tree)
Lineage: Eukaryota; Viridiplantae; Streptophyta; Magnoliopsida; Malpighiales; Euphorbiaceae
Source: RNAcentral
CUCAACAAUGCUUUUGGUAUCCUUACAACUACUAUUACCACUACUACUAUUGUCAAACCCCUUAACCCUACCAAGCUCAAUGAAGCUACCCUGCAACGGCUCCAACUUAAACGGCCUGAAAUAGAAUGCCGUUUUGCAAUUAGGGCAAAAAUUGACCGCUUGAUAAAUGCCAGUUUCUCUGCCGGUGAUAGACAGCGGCCGGUUCGAGAACAGUACCGGCAUUUGAGAG